AUUGAACGCUGGCGGCAUGCCUUACACAUGCAAGUCGAACGGCAGCACGGGAGCUUGCUCCUGGUGGCGAGUGGCGAACGGGUGAGUAAUAUAUCGGAACGUACCCUAGAGUGGGGGAUAACGCAGCGAAAGUUGCGCUAAUACCGCAUACGAUCUACGGAUGAAAGUGGGGGAUCGCAAGACCUCAUGCUCAUGGAGCGGCCGAUAUCUGAUUAGCUAGUUGGUGGGGUAAAGGCCUACCAAGGCUUCGAUCAGUAGCUGGUCUGAGAGGACGACCAGCCACACUGGAACUGAGACACGGUCCAGACUCCUACGGGAGGCAGCAGUGGGGGAAUUUUUGGACAAUGGGCGCAAGCCUGAUCCAGCAAUGCCGCGUGCAGGAUGAAGGCCU
RNAcentral lists this ribosomal RNA (391 nucleotides) under uncultured bacterium. RNAcentral describes it as "bacterial SSU rRNA". It matches the Rfam family "Bacterial small subunit ribosomal RNA", at positions 30 to 417 of the family's 1533-position model. The record is from RNAcentral.